AGAGUUUGAUCCUGGCUCAGGAUGAACGCCCUUUGCGUGCCUAACACAUGCAAGUCGAACGGGGCGCGCCGGCGGGGGCCCUCCGGGGCUGAAGCCGGCGCCGCCCAGUGGCGGACGGGUGAGUAACGCGUGGGCAACCUGCCCCGCACUGGGGGACAACAGCCGGAAACGGCUGCUAAUACCGCAUGGGCGCACAGCCCCGCAUGGGGCGGUGCGGAAAGCCUUGGCGGUGCGGGAUGGGCCCGCGUCUGAUUAGCUUGUUGGCGGGGCAACGGCCCACCAAGGCGACGAUCAGUAGCCGGCCUGAGAGGGUGGGCGGCCACAUUGGGACUGAGACACGGCCCAAACUCCUACGGGAGGCAGCAGUGGGGGAUAUUGCACAAUGGGGGGAACCCUGAUGCAGCGACGCCGCGUGGGCGAUGGAGCGCCUCGGCGCGUAAAGCCCUAUCAGCAGGGAAGAAAAUGACGGUACCUGACUAAGAAGCCCCGGCUAAAUACGUGCCAGCAGCCGCGGUAAUACGUAUGGGGCAAGCGUUAUCCGGAUUUACUGGGUGUAAAGGGAGCGCAGGCGGCCUGGCAAGCCUGAUGUGAAAUACCGGGGCCCAACCCCGGGGCUGCAUUGGGAACUGCCAGGCUGGAGUGCCGGAGAGGCAGGCGGAAUUCCUAGUGUAGCGGUGAAAUGCGUAGAUAUUAGGAGGAACACCAGUGGCGAAGGCGGCCUGCUGGACGGUGACUGACGCUGAGGCUCGAAAGCGUGGGGAGCAAACAGGAUUAGAUACCCUGGUAGUCCACGCCGUAAA
RNAcentral lists this ribosomal RNA (800 nucleotides) under uncultured bacterium. RNAcentral's name for it is "bacterial SSU rRNA". It matches the Rfam family "Bacterial small subunit ribosomal RNA", at positions 8 to 806 of the family's 1533-position model. The record is from RNAcentral.